UCGUCAUCGCCGGCUGCGCUGGUAUGUUGUUCUCUUUUCCCUGCUCCGCCGCGUAGGCCACUCCAGCACCACGGGAUACGAGUAUGGCGUUGCCAUGGCUGGGUUGAGGAUGAUCAGUUCAUCCCCAACGCGUCGCUGUGUGUCCAUCCGAUGAACAAGAGAGCUGUCAACAGAAGAAGCACGACUCAUGUACCUUCAGGCUCUUCUCUUCUUGGUUCAAGAUCUUCAGAAACUUUAUUUAUUUUUAGGUGCUCACUGUACCUUCAUGCUCUUUGACAGAACCUCUUUGCAAGGAAGUGUGCGAGUAGUGAGAAAUUUUAAAUCAGUGAGCAAAAUUUCUCAUAUGUACUCACUGUAAGUGUUCACUACAUCUUUAACUGUUCAUAGAAAGGUGGUUAGAUCUGGCAUAAAUAGUAUUCAUUGCAAGAUUACAUGAAGUACUAAUAUUCCAAUAUGCCACAUUUCUUGCUUAAUGGUGCCCACUAAUAGGAAAUAAAGAGUAAUGUAUGUAGUAUUACUUGGUAGUGGUUUACUCUGCUUUUCCAGGAAAAUAGUGUUAUCUAUGUAUGUAUGUAUGUAUGUAUGUAUGUAUGUAUGUAUGUAUGUAUUACUUGGUAGUGGUUUACUCUGCUUUUCCAGGUUGCAAAAAGGCAAUACUUGUCUGUGCUACUUGCAGUUUACUCCGCUCAUUCUACGGGUACUAAUAGGACCCAUUAGUACAUUCAGGUGGAUGGCAAGAGGACUAGAGGAUGCCUCAGGCGAGGGUGUCCAGCAAGCACUGUUAAAGAUAUUCGAAGGAACUGUAAUUGCCCAUGCUGUUUAGAAGAGUGGGAGUUUUACAGUGUGCAGACGUGACUAAUCUGACAUAUUUUUCUGCUUCAUAGAUUCUGAACUCGCAUGUAUCAUAUUAUGUCUGUUUGUUUCUAAACAAGAACAAUUUCACAUUUGCAUUGUUAGGUGAUCAGUGUGCCAAGAAAAGAAGUCGAGAUAUCAUAUCCCAUGGUUAAUGUCGAGGUAAUUGUUUUUAGAACUUCUGAUUAGCACUGGCUGCUGAAACCUGCUACAUAGCCGUAGAUCAGUAACCUUUCAGCAGUCUAGUACCAAAAGUUCCAAAUUAUUUCAUGGUGCUAUGACUUUCAGUCUUCAUUCUAUAUGUGUUGAGGGACACAGGCAACUGAACAUCAAAGAUUGAUGCCCUUGUUUCACAAGCAGUUGGCCCUAGGUACUAAAUAUAUAUAUACUUUAAAUUUGUAAUAAACACCUUCCAUUACAAUGAUGAGUGGUGCAUACGCAAGCACUCUAUUGUUAGAUGCAUAUUAAUUUGUUUUUCCAGGUUGAUAUAAAAGUAUACUCUUAAUUUGUAGAUGCGCCUUCUCUGACGUGGGGAAGAUUUAUGUCAGAAACUUGCAUAGACAGAUCAUUGAUGGGUGCAUAUUAUUAUUGUACACACAAGCAACCUUAGUUGAAUAGUUCAUUGAUGGGUGGGGAGGGCAGGUCUGCAAGGUGUUGGGAAACCCUUUUCUUGAUGUGAACAAUAUGGUAUGGUAUUGUUCUUAAUUGUCAAUCAAUCCAGGAUUCAACCUUGUUUGCAAAUUCAAGUGUUUGGUUUGAACGAUGACACAAAUCCCAUGCAAGGAACAUGUUAAUAUAGUUUUGUGCAACAUAUAUUUUUCAUCAUAGCAAUGGAAAACUGACUCGUGUGCAAGUGCCCUUCUAAUUGGUGCUCUAUGUAUGUUCUCAUUUGGUUCAGGUUGAUUUUUGUGUAUUCCAAGUUCUACAACUAUCAAGUCCGUUAGAUUUUGGGGGUCUGUAAAUUUAUUUUGUUGCCCACUUGAUGAUUAUUUGAAACCUUUUGGUUGCCUAGUGUGGAUGAGAGAAGCAUGUAUGCCUGUAAUUCAUGAUAUUUAGCUGAUUUUAAAACUCUGUACGUGUACAGUGUACACUCAUGUAAUAGUUAUUUGUCUCUCAUCAUCGACUCCUUGAAAAAUGAUCAUCCGCUUGAAGUAACUAUUGUGACAAGUAUGGUAUGUACCAAGAUGUUUGUUUUCAUGCAAAUGCCAUAAUUGGAGCGAUGCACUUUGGUUAUACCUAUAUAAUGCCUUGAAUGCCACACAUUCAAGCUGUGCUGUUAUCAAUUGCAUGAGCCAUUGCUCACUAUUUUUCCACAUACCUAUGAGAGUUUAAUUCAGAAAGGGAAGAAGCCGGGUUACCUUCAAUUGUUGGGUACAUAGACAUUCAGUGCUAUCUGGCAUGUGAGUUUUAUUUUCCCUCUCCUCCUGUAUAAUUAAUAAUUUCUGUUCACUGUAUAUGAGACUUGUCCGCAAGUGCUAUUCAAUCCAUGGUUGCUAGCAGAUAUCGUGUGGUGAUUCAGGUUGGAUGUGUACUGAUGUUUGAAAAUAAAUCCUGAAUGUUGUAACUGGUGCUUGUAAUGGUAUUUCGUUUUCGUACUAUGCAAGCCUCAGGAUGCUAAUCAAAAUAACCUUCAUGCCAAUUGAAAUACAGGUCGAUGGAG
This 2512-nucleotide long non-coding RNA is filed under the name Triticum aestivum (bread wheat). Its description in RNAcentral is "long non-coding RNA (TAES_LNC025435)". The record is from RNAcentral. Lineage: Eukaryota; Viridiplantae; Streptophyta; Magnoliopsida; Poales; Poaceae.